RNAcentral lists this ribosomal RNA (495 nucleotides) under uncultured bacterium. RNAcentral describes it as "partial 16S ribosomal RNA". It matches the Rfam family "Bacterial small subunit ribosomal RNA", at positions 28 to 507 of the family's 1533-position model. The record is from RNAcentral.
GACGAACGCUGGCGGCGUGCCUAAUACAUGCAAGUAGAACGCUGAAGGAGGAGCUUGCUUCUCUGGAUGAGUUGCGAACGGGUGAGUAACGCGUAGGUAACCUGCCUGGUAGCGGGGGAUAACUAUUGGAAACGAUAGCUAAUACCGCAUAAUAGUAGAUGUUGCAUGACAUUUGCUUAAAAGGUGCAAUUGCAUCACUACCAGAUGGACCUGCGUUGUAUUAGCUAGUUGGUGGGGUAACGGCUCACCAAGGCGACGAUACAUAGCCGACCUGAGAGGGUGAUCGGCCACACUGGGACUGAGACACGGCCCAGACUCCUACGGGAGGCAGCAGUAGGGAAUCUUCGGCAAUGGACGGAAGUCUGACCGAGCAACGCCGGGUGAGUGAAGAAGGUUUUCGGAUCGUAAAGCUCUGUUGUAAGAGAAGAACGAGUGUGAGAGUGGAAAGUUCACACUGUGACGGUAGCUUAACAGAAAGGGACGGCUAACUACGUG